GUGGGUAUAGCUAAGUGGUAGACAGCAUGCUUAGCAUGCCCGAGGUCCUGGUUUCAAUCACCAGUACCUCCA
RNAcentral lists this transfer RNA (72 nucleotides) under Camelus bactrianus (Bactrian camel). It matches the Rfam family "tRNA". Rfam says of the family: Transfer RNA (tRNA) molecules are approximately 80 nucleotides in length. Their secondary structure includes four short double-helical elements and three loops (D, anti-codon, and T loops). Further hydrogen bonds mediate the characteristic L-shaped molecular structure. tRNAs have two regions of fundamental functional importance: the anti-codon, which is responsible for specific mRNA codon recognition, and the 3' end, to which the tRNAs corresponding amino acid is attached (by aminoacyl-tRNA synthetases). tRNAs cope with the degeneracy of the genetic code in two manners: having more than one tRNA (with a specific anti-codon) for a particular amino acid; and 'wobble' base-pairing, i.e. permitting non-standard base-pairing at the 3rd anti-codon position. Lineage: Eukaryota; Metazoa; Chordata; Mammalia; Artiodactyla; Camelidae. The record is from Rfam by way of RNAcentral. RNAcentral also lists the same sequence under 2 other names.